Non-coding RNA from Beta vulgaris subsp. vulgaris (sugar beet), 110 nucleotides. NCBI's taxonomy places the organism in Eukaryota, Viridiplantae, Streptophyta, Magnoliopsida, Caryophyllales, Amaranthaceae. The record is from Rfam.
UAUGGUGGUAUUGCCGAGGGUGUUCACCUCUUCCCAUUCCGAACAGAGAAGUUAAGCCCCUCAUGGCCGAUGGUACUGGUUAACUCCGGGAGAGUAGGUAGCCGCCAUAU